UAAUAAUAGUAUUUAAGAGAUAGGUGAACCUGAAUUACUUGGCAAUUAAUAAUCAGAAACAGUUUUCUCAGAGAUUUUAAAAAGAUUUGAGCUCAGAAUUUUGCCGUGUUGAAGGACAUGGCCCAAAAGCACACUCAAAGUAAAUACAAAAUCCCAGCUCUGUCACUAGUUGGCUGAGGACAUUGGUCAAGGUAUUGAAAAUGCAGGUCCUCUGGUUUCCUUAUCCAUCACAUGGAAAUAUCAACAGUGCUUCCCUAAUAGGAUUGUUGUGAGAUAUGAGUCUACAUUUGUGCUCAGCACACUGGUACAGAGUAGGCAUUCCAAAAAUGCUAGCUAUUGUUACAGAGGAACGAUGAUUAGACUGAAUAGACAGACUCAUAGAUGUCACUGGCAACAAUGAAUAACAGAAGGUAAGGCACUACUAUUUUUAACGUACUAAAGGAACAAUAAGUAUCAACCUGAAAUUUUAUUAACUCUAGAUAAAUUAUUAAUCAAGGUUGAGAUGAAAGAUAUUUUCAGACCAAAAUCAAAAGUGUUUACAAACACUUUACAAGUCCUAAAAAGGUUUGAAUUCAUAAGGCUGAGUUAUAGGAAACAAAAUUCAUCAUAAAGAGAUAAAAAUAAGCAUUAAUUAGCAAUUGACUAUGCCACUUCCACUAUUUUUUGUGUUGAAAAAAGUUUUAAUUUAAAUUUGAUAAAAAAAAGGAAGGAAGGAAUUAAUCAAUGGGCUGAAAUAUG
Molecule: long non-coding RNA, 738 nt
Filed under: Marmota monax (woodchuck)
Lineage: Eukaryota; Metazoa; Chordata; Mammalia; Rodentia; Sciuridae
Source: RNAcentral